Molecule: ribosomal RNA, 376 nt
Filed under: Potamothrix moldaviensis
Lineage: Eukaryota; Metazoa; Annelida; Clitellata; Tubificida; Naididae
Description: partial 12S ribosomal RNA
Rfam family: Bacterial small subunit ribosomal RNA
Source: RNAcentral
UCCCUAAAAUAAAAAGAUGCCGGAUAAUACAAAUAAACAUUUAAAAACCAAAGAACUUGGCGGUGUCUUAUACUAUCAGGGGAACCUGUCCCUUAAUACGAUAAUCCACGAACGCUCAAACUCCUCUUGAAUUACAGCCUGUGUACUGCCGUCUAAAGUACACCUUUAAAAGUCAGCGUACAAAAAUAUACCUACUGACGUCAGGUCAAAGUGCAGCCUAUGAGAAGCUGGAGAUGGGUUACACACUAAACAAAAGCUACCAACCCUUAUUAAUAAAUAUGGUCAAAGCUGGACUUGAAAGUAAUAAAACCACCAAAAUUUUAUGAAUAGGAAUCUAAGACAUGCACACAUCGCCCGUCACUCUCGUCGAAAGAUG